Long non-coding RNA from Peromyscus maniculatus bairdii (prairie deer mouse), 890 nucleotides. RefSeq lists it as uncharacterized. NCBI's taxonomy places the organism in Eukaryota, Metazoa, Chordata, Mammalia, Rodentia, Cricetidae. The record is from RefSeq and is a predicted model, not a curated record.
CUCUCGGCCACACCUUCUAGAAAAUUCCCCACCAAUCCUUUUUAUUUUAUUUUAUUUUUUUAUUUUUCAAGACAGGAUUUCUCUGUGAAACAGUCCUGGCUGUCCUGGAACUCACUCUGUAGACCAGGCUGGCCUCGAUCUCACAGAGAUUCGCCUGCCUCUGUCUCCCGAGUGCUGGGAUUAAAGGUGUGCACCACCACCGCCUGGCUCCCCACCAAUUCUUAAUGUUCAGACAAUGCUGAUGGACAAAGGAAAGGCGACUGAAGGGCCAACAGGUUGUAAUGGAAGUUGGGACCACAGAUCACAGCUCCCGGCACACUCCUAUUGCCCCAGCGGUUGGUAAUUGCCCUGGAUCUGAAUGCCGCGGGGCUGAGGGACCCUGGAGCUCCCGGCACAUCUCAACUCCUAGCACUAAGACGGCUGAAGCAGAAGUCGGAAGUCGGAGCUCCCUGAGCUAUACAGAGACCCCGAGUCAAACUCAAAAACAACUAAACGACACAGGCAUGUUCUGUCAGUACAAUACUGUCCCUUGAUGACCUCUGAGAUUCUCAAAGAUGCCCCUCAGAUUCCAAUCUACAGAUGUAAAGGCCCUUAUAUAAAAUUAAAUAGUAUUUGCAUAGAUAACUAGUUGUAUUCCCCAAGGACGCUUUUUUGAGACAGGGUACUCAGGUAGCCCAGGCUGACCUCGAAUUUGAUCAGUAUGUAGCUGACUCUGGUCUUGAACUUCCUGCCUUCAUCUCUGCAGUCGAUGCUCUACUACUGAACUAUGUCCCCAUGCCUCCACCUUCCGAGUGGCGGGAUCACAUGUCCCCAAUACCACUAGCCCCUCAGAUAUUUCACAUCUCUAAAACUUUCUAAAUUACUGUUACCCAAUACAAUGUAAAUGCUAU